RNAcentral lists this ribosomal RNA (253 nucleotides) under uncultured bacterium. RNAcentral's name for it is "partial 16S ribosomal RNA". It matches the Rfam family "Bacterial small subunit ribosomal RNA", at positions 524 to 776 of the family's 1533-position model. The record is from RNAcentral.
UACGUAGGGUGCGAGCGUUGUCCGGAAUUAUUGGGCGUAAAGAGCUUGUAGGCGGUUUGUCGCGUCUGCUGUGAAAAUCCGGGGCUCAACCCCGGACUUGCAGUGGGUACGGGCAGACUAGAGUGUGGUAGGGGAGACUGGAAUUCCUGGUGUAGCGGUGAAAUGCGCAGAUAUCAGGAAGAACACCGAUGGCGAAGGCAGGUCUCUGGGCCACUACUGACGCUGAGAAGCGAAAGCGUGGGGAGCGAACAGG